This is a long non-coding RNA of Passer domesticus (house sparrow), 381 nucleotides long. RefSeq lists it as uncharacterized. The transcript has 2 exons. The record is from RefSeq and is a predicted model, not a curated record. Lineage: Eukaryota; Metazoa; Chordata; Aves; Passeriformes; Passeridae.
AUUGAGCCGCCGUCAAAUUCAAUCACAAGUGAAAAUGGAUUUUUUAAUGCGACUAUUAGCUGCUUUUGAAAGGCAAAUUGAGUUCAGUUAUACCGAGUCAGUCAUCAAAAAACAAUUUGCCAUCAGCCAGACGGGCCGGAGAGGAGCCCGGCUGGGAGCAGCGGCUGCGCGCCGCGGAUCGGGAGAUCCGACACGGGAACCAUGGGGAAAUCCAGCUUUUCCUCCUCAAAAAUGCACUGGGAGCAGUCCAGGAAUUUCUACAGCAGCAUAAUCCAAAGAUCUGCUUUCAAAGAGCCUCUGCUUCCCGCAAAGCUCCAGCCUCGGCUAAUGAGAGCUUAACCACAUGUUUGUGGUAGAUGAAAUAGUAUCAUUUUGCAAUUA